Molecule: unclassified non-coding RNA, 359 nt
Filed under: Hevea brasiliensis (rubber tree)
Lineage: Eukaryota; Viridiplantae; Streptophyta; Magnoliopsida; Malpighiales; Euphorbiaceae
Source: RNAcentral
AAAGUUCUAAAGAAAUUAUGGUGGUUUUAGCUUAAACCUAGAUUCCUAUUAAAUAGAACCGGAAAUACUACACACAUGAAUCAAUUAGUUCAACUUAAAAAGUUCACCAAAAUUUUAGCACGAAUAUGGCCUUGUGCUACCUCCUGUUUUCAUGAACAUUUACAAAAGUUAUUCUCACUUUUGUUGAAGCGGCACCACUUCCUAUGUUCAUAUAGGUGAAGUUUCCUUUGUAAUAAUAAUUUUAAACUUCAUUAAGAGUAUAAAUACUCAUCCUCAUUCCAUUAACUUAGUACACUAAGUACGUAAUUACAAAAUUUACUAAUGACUUGUUGUUACCUUUAAACUUUAUUUAGUAAUAA